UUGAAAACACACAAUUUUAAAAUUAGAAUUAGAAUUUACAUUAUUUUUCACAGAUUUCUGUUUAAAAAUUAACAAUAGGUUAUUUUUUACACUCAAUACUUUAAAAUAUGACUAAAAAGGUAGCAUUAUGCAUCUAAAAUGUGGAAAGAAGUCAGAGAAUAUUGUUUUUUCAUUUUAUAUGACUUAACAUUAUUUGCACCAGCUGACCGCAGUCAAUUAUAGUGUCUACAGACUUUGCGGUAAAGGGUGUUAAAGCUGAUUUUUCAAGAAUAGACUAAUUCUAGGUUUGCGAAUGAAUUUUUAGCACAAGCGACAACUGCGAUAAAAUGUAAACAAGUAAAAAUGUUUUCACAGAAUGAUAAUUUCUACAGACACAUGAUUUAUUUUAAUUUAUUCAGACCUCCAGUGAUACAUACAUUACUGCAUUGGAAGAACAGAAAUAAUGAAAUGAGUCAGAUCUGUCUAAUAAACUUAAUACAUAAGCUACAUUAGUAAAAUUCAUUAAGAAUUUAUCGAAGUAAGGAAGGUUAUGACCAAAAAAUCCUGAAAUACUGUCAAGGUCUGCAUGAUAAUACUUAUUCUGAGUUCUAACCAUGCAUCAUACAUGUAGUGCAGAAUGUCACUUAGCAGCAUGGCAUGCCUUUUGUGGUUCUAAGGACUUUAUUUAUGCUUUCGCAGCUGACAUUCAUGUUUUUUCAGUUUGUCGGAGACUGUUUUUUGUUAUUUUUUCAUUUAUAUGUAGGUGUUGACUGUCACUUUUGAAUUAAGUCUCAGUCAGUGAUGCUUAUAUGAGCAUGAUCUAUUAAGUAUAUCAUUGUACUGAAAUAUUAAUAAAUUCCAAAUUUAACUGAUGAAGAAAUUUGGCAUAUUUACAUAAUUGAAAUAUCAGAAUAACUAUAAUUCAGCUAAUAAGGUGCACAUUUCUUCUCAGAUCACUUCCUAUAAAUUUUAUCAGCAGUUUUUGUACACCCACCCACCUCAAAGAAUCAUGGAGGAUGUCCUGAAUCUGGUCUCUGUGAUGCAUUUUGUCUCAUAGAAAAGUGUUCAAACUCAUUAAAAUGUUUAAUAUUUAUAUUUUAAAAUUUAAAUGUUUAUUUUUUUAUGUAAAUUUGUUGAAACAAAAAGAUAUAAUCUUGCAUAAAUCAUGGAAAUUCAUUAAACACCUUUGGAAUUCCUGAAUAAAUCCAUGAAAAGAGAAUAAUUAUGCAUGUUAAAUUGAAAUUUCAUGGCUAAUUUGUGUCUUAAGAGAAAGCCAGUUGCAUAAAUCACAACAAUAAAUUACAUCUGAAUUGUUGUCUCCAGGUUCUUAUCAUCAAAGCCAGUUUAAUGGAGUGUGGGAGCUGUGAAGAACCUCCCUAGAUGCUGAUAUCAUUUUGACUGCCCUGAGUUACAACACAGCAUUUAGAUAAACUUCUGCACAGCAGCUUGUAGACACAUACCUAGGCUUUAUUUGGAACAUAAAUUGACCAGAUACAGUGUUCAUUAUCAACCCAGUAUUUAACAAUUUCUGUAUUUUUGUUCAUUCUUUGAAGGGGAAAAUGCAACUUUGUUAUGUAAUAAUUACAUAAUGGUCUUAGACUUGUAAACUCUUUUCUGUUUGUGGUGAAGAACAAAGCAUAUACUCUCCACGGAUAAAAAAUUGGUUGCCAAGCUUAUUCUUUUAAUGGUGAAAUUCUGCUUCAAAAGAUGCACAAAAAACUGCUUCCAGAGUGCUGUGUGUGUUGUUCUUGACUGCUCUGGAGUAAGGGAGAUAAAUGCUUCAUAUCUUCAGAAAUAAGGGGAUUUAGAUCACCAGACUUAGGGAUGUUGGGGACAAUUAUUUAAUGAAUCUCAGGUGCAAAAAUGGAAAAAAUCGAACACCUUCAAAGGUCCUUCAAGGUUCUUAUCAUCAAAGCCAGUUUAAUGGAGUGUGGGAGCUGUGAAGAACCUCCCUAGAUGCUGAUAUCAUUUUGACUGCCCUGAGUUACAACACAGCAUUUAGAUAAACUUCUGCACAGCAGCUUGUAGACACAUACCUAGGCUUUAUUUGGAACAUAAAUUGACCAGAUACAGUGUUCAUUAUCAACCCAGUAUUUAACAAUUUCUGUAUUUUUGUUCAUUCUUUGAAGGGGAAAAUGCAACUUUGUUAUGUAAUAAUUACAUAAUGGUCUUAGACUUGUAAACUCUUUUCUGUUUGUGGUGAAGAACAAAGCAUAUACUCUCCACGGAUAAAAAAUUGGUUGCCAAGCUUAUUCUUUUAAUGGUGAAAUUCUGCUUCAAAAGAUGCACAAAAAACUGCUUCCAGAGUGCUGUGUGUGUUGUUCUUGACUGCUCUGGAGUAAGGGAGAUAAAUGCUUCAUAUCUUCAGAAAUAAGGGGAUUUAGAUCACCAGACUUAGGGAUGUUGGGGACAAUUAUUUCAUGAAUCUCAGGUGCAAAAAUGGAAAAAAUCGAACACCUUCAAAGGUCCUUCAAGGUGAUUGUGAAAAAUCAUUUUAAUCCUUAUUAAAGACAUUUUUCAUUUUUAAAAGGCAUAUUUCAACAAAAUAUGUGAUUUUAUUAACUUUUUGUUUGAAAACACACAAUUUUAAAAUUAGAAUUAGAAUUUACAUUAUUUUUCACAGAUUUCUGUUUAAAAAUUAACAAUAGGUUAUAUUUUACACUCAAUACUUUAAAAUAUGACUAAAAAGGUAGCAUUAUGCAUCUAAAAUGUGGAAAGAAGUCAGAGAAUAUUGUUUUUUCAUUUUAUAUGACUUAACAUUAUUUGCACCAGCUGACCGCAGUCAAUUAUAGUGUCUACAGACUUUGCGGUAAAGGGUGUUAAAGCUGAUUUUUCAAGAAUAGACUAAUUCUAGGUUUGCGAAUGAAUUUUUAGCAUAAGCGACAACUGCGAUAAAAUGUAAACAAGUAAAAAUGUUUUCACAGAAUGAUAAUUUCUACAGACACAUGAUUUAUUUUAAUUUAUUCAGACCUCCAGUGAUACAUACAUUACUGCAUUGGAAGAACAGAAAUAAUGAAAUGAGUCAGAUCUGUCUAAUAAACUUAAUACAUAAGCUACAUUAGUAAAAUUCAUUAAGAAUUUAUCAAAGUAAGGAAGGUUAUGACCAAAAAAUCCUGAAAUACUGUCAAGGUCUGCAUGAUAAUACUUAUUCUGAGUUCUAACCAUGCAUCAUACAUGUAGUGCAGAAUGUCACUUAGCAGCAUGGCAUGCCUUUUGUGGUUCUAAGGACUUUAUUUAUGCUUUCGCAGCUGACAUUCAUGUUUUUUCAGUUUGUCGGAGACUGUUUUUUGUUAUUUUUUCAUUUAUAUGUAGGUGUUGACUGUCACUUUUGAAUUAAGUCUCAGUCAGUGAUGCUUAUAUGAGCAUGAUCUACUAAGUAUAUCAUUGUACUGAAAUAUUAAUAAAUUCCAAAUUUAACUGAUGAAGAAAUUUGGCAUAUUUACAUAAUUGAAAUAUCAGAAUAACUAUAAUUCAGCUAAUAAGGUGCACAUUUCUUCUCAGAUCACUUCCUAUAAAUUUUAUCAACAGUUUUGGUACACCCACCCACCUCAAAGAAUCAUGAAGGAUGUCCUGAAUCUGGUCUCUGUGAUGCAUUUUGUCUCAUAGAAAAGUGUUCAAACUCAUUAAAAUGUUUAAUAUUUAUAUUUUAAAAUCUAAAUGUUCAUUUUUUUAUGUAAAUUUGUUGAAACAAAAAGAUAUAAUCUUGCAUAAAUCAUGGAAAUUCAUUAAACACCUUUGGAAUUCCUGAAUAAAUCCAUGAAAAGAGAAUAAUUAUGCAUGUUAAAUUGAAAUUUCAUGGCUAAUUUGUGUCUUAAGAGAAAGCCAGUUGCAUAAAUCACAACAAUAAAUUACAUCUGAAUUGUUGUCUCCAGGUUCUUAUCAUCAAAGCCAGUUUAAUGGAGUGUGGGAGCUGUGAAGAACCUCCCUAGAUGCUGAUAUCAUUUUGACUGCCCUGAGUUACAACACAGCAUUUAGAUAAACUUCUGCACAGCAGCUUGUAGACACAUACCUAGGCUUUAUUUGGAACAUAAAUUGACCAGAUACAGUGUUCAUUAUCAACCCAGUAUUUAACAAUUUCUGUAUUUUUGUUCAUUCUUUGAAGGGGAAAAUGCAACUUUGUUAUGUAAUAAUUACAUAAUGGUCUUAGACUUGUAAACUCUUUUCUGUUUGUGGUGAAGAACAAAGCAUAUACUCUCCACGGAUAAAAAAUUGGUUGCCAAGCUUAUUCUUUUAAUGGUGAAAUUCUGCUUCAAAAGAUGCACAAAAAACUGCUUCCAGAGUGCUGUGUGUGUUGUUCUUGACUGCUCUGGAGUAAGGGAGAUAAAUGCUUCAUAUCUUCAGAAAUAAGGGGAUUUAGAUCACCAGACUUAGGGAUGUUGGGGACAAUUAUUUCAUGAAUCUCAGGUGCAAAAAUGGAAAAAAUCGAACACCUUCAAAGGUCCUUCAAGGUAUCACACCGGUAAUUGACCAAUCAAAAUGAACUUAGUCAAAUGUAGGUCCAUAUAUAUAGAAUUAAUUUUCUUUUCUUUUGAGGCGUUUUUCUAUUUUCUUCCAUGCCACUUUUACAACUUUGGUACCUGUGCCUAGUAAAUUUUAUGUACUUUGUGAAUAAAUAAAGGUUUUGGACAGGAACUAUUUUUUUCAUGGCAUAGGAGGCUACUUCCUGUAGUGCACUCGAGGUGUUUAUAAACACAGUGAAAACACGUGGAUUUGAGGGUAGCCCUGUUUGCAGAUGGAAAAAGUCCGAAAAUGCCGUGUGGGUACCCUGUUUUUUGGUGUCAGCUAAUGUGACAGGAGGCUACUUCCUGUAGUGCACUCGAGGUGUUUAUAAACACAGUGAAAACACGUGGAUUUGAGGGUAGCCCUGUUUGCAGAUGGAAAAAGUCCGAAAAUGCCGUGUGGGUACCCUGUUUUUUGGUGUCAGCUAAUGUGACAGAUCACUUCCUAUAAAUUUUAUCAACAGUUUUGGUACACCCACCCACCUCAAAGAAUCAUGGAGGAUGUCCUGAAUCUGGUCUCUGUGAUGCAUUUUGUCUCAUAGAAAAGUGUUCAAACUCAUUAAAAUGUUUAAUAUUUAUAUUUUAAAAUCUAAAUGUUCAUUUUUUUAUGUAAAUUUGUUGAAACAAAAAGAUAUAAUCUUGCAUAAAUCAUGGAAAUUCAUUAAACACCUUUGGAAUUCCUGAAUAAAUCCAUGAAAAGAGAAUAAUUAUGCAUGUUAAAUUGAAAUUUCAUGGCUAAUUUGUGUCUUAAGAGAAAGCCAGUUGCAUAAAUCACAACAAUAAAUUACAUCUGAAUUGUUGUCUCCAGGUUCUUAUCAUCAAAGCCAGUUUAAUGGAGUGUGGGAGCUGUGAAGAACCUCCCUAGAUGCUGAUAUCAUUUUGACUGCCCUGAGUUACAACACAGCAUUUAGAUAAACUUCUGCACAGCAGCUUGUAGACACAUACCUAGGCUUUAUUUGGAACAUAAAUUGACCAGAUACAGUGUUCAUUAUCAACCCAGUAUUUAACAAUUUCUGUAUUUUUGUUCAUUCUUUGAAGGGGAAAAUGCAACUUUGUUAUGUAAUAAUUACAUAAUGGUCUUAGACUUGUAAACUCUUUUCUGUUUGUGGUGAAGAACAAAGCAUAUACUCUCCACGGAUAAAAAAUUGGUUGCCAAGCUUAUUCUUUUAAUGGUGAAAUUCUGCUUCAAAAGAUGCACAAAAAACUGCUUCCAGAGUGCUGUGUGUGUUGUUCUUGACUGCUCUGGAGUAAGGGAGAUAAAUGCUUCAUAUCUUCAGAAAUAAGGGGAUUUAGAUCACCAGACUUAGGGAUGUUGGGGACAAUUAUUUCAUGAAUCUCAGGUGCAAAAAUGGAAAAAAUCGAACACCUUCAAAGGUCCUUCAAGGUAUCACACCGGUAAUUGACCAAUCAAAAUGAACUUAGUCAAAUGUAGGUCCAUAUAUAUAGAAUUAAUUUUCUUUUCUUUUGAGGCGUUUUUCUAUUUUCUUCCAUGCCACUUUUACAACUUUGGUACCUGUGCCUAGUAAAUUUUAUGUACUUUGUGAAUAAAUAAAGGUUUUGGACAGGAACUAUUUUUUUCAUGGCAUAGGAGGCUACUUCCUGUAGUGCACUCGAGGUGUUUAUAAACACAGUGAAAACACGUGGAUUUGAGGGUAGCCCUGUUUGCAGAUGGAAAAAGUCCGAAAAUGCCGUGUGGGUACCCUGUUUUUUGGUGUCAGCUAAUGUGACAGGAGGCUACUUCCUGUAGUGCACUCGAGGUGUUUAUAAACACAGUGAAAACACGUGGAUUUGAGGGUAGCCCUGUUUGCAGAUGGAAAAAGUCCGAAAAUGCCGUGUGGGUACCCUGUUUUUUGGUGUCAGCUAAUGUGACAGUUUUGGUACACCCACCCACCUCAAAGAAUCAUGGAGGAUGUCCUGAAUCUGGUCUCUGUGAUGCAUUUUGUCUCAUAGAAAAGUGUUCAAACUCAUUAAAAUGUUUAAUAUUUAUAUUUUAAAAUCUAAAUGUUCAUUUUUUUAUGUAAAUUUGUUGAAACAAAAAGAUAUAAUCUUGCAUAAAUCAUGGAAAUUCAUUAAACACCUUUGGAAUUCCUGAAUAAAUCCAUGAAAAGAGAAUAAUUAUGCAUGUUAAAUUGAAAUUUCAUGGCUAAUUUGUGUCUUAAGAGAAAGCCAGUUGCAUAAAUCACAACAAUAAAUUACAUCUGAAUUGUUGUCUCCAGGUUCUUAUCAUCAAAGCCAGUUUAAUGGAGUGUGGGAGCUGUGAAGAACCUCCCUAGAUGCUGAUAUCAUUUUGACUGCCCUGAGUUACAACACAGCAUUUAGAUAAACUUCUGCACAGCAGCUUGUAGACACAUACCUAGGCUUUAUUUGGAACAUAAAUUGACCAGAUACAGUGUUCAUUAUCAACCCAGUAUUUAACAAUUUCUGUAUUUUUGUUCAUUCUUUGAAGGGGAAAAUGCAACUUUGUUAUGUAAUAAUUACAUAAUGGUCUUAGACUUGUAAACUCUUUUCUGUUUGUGGUGAAGAACAAAGCAUAUACUCUCCACAGAUAAAAAAUUGGUUGCCAAGCUUAUUCUUUUAAUGAUGAAAUUCUGCUUCAAAAGAUGCACAAAAAACUGCUUCCAGAGUGCUGUGUGUGUUGUUCUUGACUGCUCUGGAGUAAGGGAGAUAAAUGCUUCAUAUCUUCAGAAAU
Molecule: long non-coding RNA, 7167 nt
Organism: Saccostrea cuccullata (small rock oyster)
Lineage: Eukaryota; Metazoa; Mollusca; Bivalvia; Ostreida; Ostreidae
Exons: 7
Source: RefSeq, a predicted model, not a curated record